CUUGACGACCAUAGAGCGUUGGAACCACCUGAUCCCAUCCCGAACUCAGUAGUGAAACGACGCAUCGCCGAUGGUAGUGUGGGGCUUCCCCAUGUGAGAGUAGGUCAUCGUCAAGCU
This 117-nucleotide ribosomal RNA is filed under the name Pseudomonas sp. ML96. The record is from RNAcentral. Lineage: Bacteria; Pseudomonadati; Pseudomonadota; Gammaproteobacteria; Pseudomonadales; Pseudomonadaceae.